This 456-nucleotide ribosomal RNA is filed under the name uncultured Acidovorax sp. Its description in RNAcentral is "bacterial SSU rRNA". It matches the Rfam family "Bacterial small subunit ribosomal RNA", at positions 923 to 1382 of the family's 1533-position model. Lineage: Bacteria; Pseudomonadati; Pseudomonadota; Betaproteobacteria; Burkholderiales; Comamonadaceae. The record is from RNAcentral.
GCACAAGCGGUGGAUGAUGUGGUUUAAUUCGAUGCAACGCGAAAACCUUACCACCUUUGACAUGUACGGAAUCCUUAGAGAUAGAGGAGUGCUCGAAAGAGAGCCGUAACACAGGUGCUGCAUGGCUGUCGUCAGCUCGUGUCGUGAGAUGUUGGGUUAAGUCCCGCAACGAGCGCAACCCUUGUCAUUAGUUGCUACAUUCAGUUGGGCACUCUAAUGAGACUGCCGGUGACAAACCGGAGGAAGGUGGGGAUGACGUCAAGUCCUCAUGGCCCUUAUAGGUGGGGCUACACACGUCAUACAAUGGAUGGUACAAAGGGUCGCCAACCCGCGAGGGGGAGCCAAUCCCAUAAAGCCAUUCGUAGUCCGGAUCGCAGUCUGCAACUCGACUGCGUGAAGUCGGAAUCGCUAGUAAUCGUGGAUCAGAAUGUCACGGUGAAUACGUUCCCGGGUCUU